GCCUCCGUGGCGAAACGGCAUACGCGGCCGGUUCAGAACCGGCUCCCGCACGGGGUGCAGGUUCGAAUCCUGCCGGAGGUA
RNAcentral lists this transfer RNA (81 nucleotides) under Gemmatimonadales bacterium. Its description in RNAcentral is "tRNA-Leu". It matches the Rfam family "tRNA". Rfam says of the family: Transfer RNA (tRNA) molecules are approximately 80 nucleotides in length. Lineage: Bacteria; Pseudomonadati; Gemmatimonadota; Gemmatimonadia; Gemmatimonadales. The record is from RNAcentral.